Girardinichthys multiradiatus is the source of this 542-nucleotide long non-coding RNA. RefSeq lists it as uncharacterized. The transcript has 3 exons. NCBI's taxonomy places the organism in Eukaryota, Metazoa, Chordata, Actinopteri, Cyprinodontiformes, Goodeidae. The record is from RefSeq and is a predicted model, not a curated record.
CUCACUGGCUUCUCUGGAGCUCCGCAGCAUGUUUCACCUCAGUUCGGUUGGCUUAUCAGCCCGUGGAGGAGAUCAGGCUUUUAGUUUCAAACAGAAACGGAUUUGUUUCUGCUAUUUUCCUUCCUGAUUUAUAAAAUGUCCAUUUUACCCACUCAGCUGUUUGGUUUGAUUGAUCUGACUUCAUUGAUGUGUUUGGACAACUGCGUCUCGGUGGUGCAGACACCAUUUAAAGGUUCCAGCAGGGACAAUAGGACAAGAGAGGUCCACUCCAAGGCCUUGCAAACUAGAGGGAGGAGAGGUAGAGACGGUGUGAGGAAUCAUGAUGGCACCGCAAAACAAGAGUCUUCUGCGUCACCACGGGGUUGACCUCAACACCUCCACCGGCUGAACCCACUAACCCACUGGCCCACCAGGAAAUCCCCGGUUUUCCCCUAUGCCAGUCCAUCCCUGGGUAUAAGAGAUUGCUGCAAAGUCAUCAUCACAAUGCAAGUGGCUGUCCACUGUCACUGCAUGCUGAUCCUGGCAUGUAGUAACAGGAGAAA